Molecule: long non-coding RNA, 517 nt
Filed under: Vombatus ursinus (common wombat)
Lineage: Eukaryota; Metazoa; Chordata; Mammalia; Diprotodontia; Vombatidae
Description: lncRNA (ENSVURG00010019593.1)
Source: RNAcentral
GGAACAGUCUAUUACUCUGCACUAUCACGGUGAUGCUGUGUUGGGUAAACUAGAAACUAAAAUGGAGAAGUCCACGUUGGAAAAUGUUCGGUUAGAAGACAUACUUCAUUUUCUUGCAAGAGAAGGAAUUGAUUCCCUUGCUACUACAGAAGAUCAGCUUUGUUACAUCUGGUGUUUAUUCCAACAUAGUGAGGAUAGGCUGAGGACUGCUUCUAGAGACUUGGAAGAGCUCAGAGUAAAACACAUGGAAGAAAUGAAAGAAGUGGAAAAUUAUGUGAGUCAUGUCCGUCAAUUAACAGAAGAAAGAGAAGCCUUAACCCAUGAUUUUGAAAAAGAGAGUGAGAGACUUCAACUUGAAUUUAAAGAACUGCAGCUCCAACAAGAGAUCGAGCUAAAGGAGAUUGAAGGAAUGUUGUAUCAGGAGGGCUUAUCAGAAAUAGCUCAGAGCAGUCCCAGUGAACAGAUUGCGUAUUUAUUGGUAGAGAGAACAACAUUGUUGGAGAAGCUGGAAUUGGCC